Cucurbita moschata (crookneck pumpkin) is the source of this 2299-nucleotide RNA transcript. RefSeq lists it as uncharacterized. NCBI's taxonomy places the organism in Eukaryota, Viridiplantae, Streptophyta, Magnoliopsida, Cucurbitales, Cucurbitaceae. The transcript is spliced from 19 exons. The record is from RefSeq and is a predicted model, not a curated record.
CCCUCUCGAAGCAUCCAUUUCUGGAAGCCAUAACCUCAAACAAGCAUCAUCAGAGAGAAGCCGCGAAACCGAAGGCAAGAAAAGGCUUACGAAUCAUAUUCUUUAUUCGAUUUUUCAAGUUCAUUCUCCAGUCUCGAGUCCUCCGCUUUCAUGGAGUUACAGCAGGAGCAAACUCCGUCGGUAUCCAUAGAAGAUUGCUUGAAGCUCUUGAAAGGAGAGAAGGACGAGCAGCGUCUCGCUGGCCUUUUCUUGGUCACUAAAAUUUGCAAGGUGGAUGAUAUUGCCUCGCUUACUAGAGUUUACAAUGCGGUUGGAGCGAAAUUUCUUGAUCGGCUUCUGAGAACUGGCAUGGGCAAAGGAACUGUUAGUGGACCUGGAGAGGAAAAUCGCGAUGCGUAUUUGCAGCUUUCAGUUAGGAUUCUGGUUGCGUUUUGUCACGUUCCUGAUAUUGCUGCUUCAGAAGAGAUGAUCUCGAAGAUUCCACUGAUACUGGAAAUCUUAUCCAACCAGUCAGGAUCAUCUGUUUUGGAGGAGUGUCUUGAAUUUCUGUAUCUGGUAUCAACUACAUCUGAUGCUGGUGUUACGGUUCUAUAUAAAUCUGGAAGCCUGAAAAUUAUAGCUUCUUGGAUGUCAAAGUUGGCAGAUGGUUCCCAUCCAAUGAAGAUUUCCAUGCAACUUGUUCAAUUGAUCAUUAGUAAGAUUUCUUUGGACAUCAUCAUGAUCGACUGUUUGCCUGAACUAACUGAUAUUGUUGUUGAUAUUGCGAGGCAAUUUGGAGUGUCUCACGAUGCUGUGAAGUUUGAAGCACUUCACCUGCUUUCUGCCAUCCUGUCCUCAAAUUUGACACCACUAUAUGAUGCCCUUCGUCAAGUGCCUUCCGAUGCUUGGUCAAAACACAUGCGUAAUGGAGUUUCAGCUAUUCUUCAUAACCGUACAGCACCUGCCGAAAAGCUUCAGGCUCUUAGUUUGGCCGAGUCUAUGGUGUCUAUUAGAGGAGAAGGUUGGCUGAUAGGUGAAAUAGAAUUACCCGAUGUUCAAGAUGCUAUUCCAUCUGACAGGUGUCUAAUACUUGUUUUAGAGCAGUCAAGAGUUGAGAUUGCUGUGAUGCUGAAUGAACUGGCCUAUGCAAAAUAUGAAGCUUCCAAGAAUUCUUCCUUGAAGGAGGAUAUCAUUGUAAAGCAGCGGAAUGUAGCAACUGCCUUCUCUUUGGUGGAAAAGAUAAUUAAGUUAGUAUCAAAUGUCGGUGAAGAUCAAGGUGAUCUUAUCGAUGAAAACACACUGAUGAAAGUGUUUAGAGGACUAAAUGAGACUACUGGUGUUGUGCUAGAAUAUUUGCAAGAUGCAAAGGAGCAUGGACAAAGAAAAGGAGAUGAUAUUUUAGCAUCCGUACGGGUUAUUGGGAGCUUUCUCGCACAAACCCCCGAUGCAUGGACAGAAAAAGUUAAGGAACUCUUAGACUAUAUGCUCUCUGUUGAAGGAGAAGAUGAACAGAGCCCCUUCAACUCUGUGUGCUUCUUGCUUCCUAUGCUGUGUCAAAUAACAAUGAAUGUUGAAGGAUGUAAAACUUUGGUUUCUUCUGGAGGUCUUGCAGCUGUUGUGAAAUGCCUUAUAAAUUUGAUUCACAAGCACGGUGGUUGGGUUGACAAUGAUGGAUCCAUUUUCUUGGCUUGUGAUACUAUCUUGAAUGUGCUUCUGAAGAAAGAGCUAGCUGGACUUCUAUGUGGGGAAUCAUCUUUUGUUCACCUUUUGGAAGCAAUUGCAAAUUCAACUGGGGAUGCCCACGAGCCAUCUGUUAUAAUGAUGGCUGCCAGCAUAUGUGCCUUAGUAUUUGAUUACACGUCAGAGAAUGCUCUUCUAAGCAAUCCGAAUUUUGCUGAUAAAUCUCUCGAUAAGUUAUGCCGACUCUUUUCAAGAAUCUUCGCUUUGUCCCAACAGGUACGUUCUUCAGUUUAUGUGGAUUGCAGCAGAGCAUGAACGAUGAUGAAGUGGCACAGAUGGAUCUUUACGAGAUUAUCGCGGCAGGAUAUUCUCGAUGGGGAGAUAGGUUCCCGCGUGUUCAAAAGGCAAUCGGGAUUGCACCAUUGUGAUUAUCGAUGUAAUCAGGAAAAGAUGGAUAUCACCAUCCCCUCCUUUCUGCACGCCAUUAAUUGGAGUAAGUGUAGUCUGCACCACAAGUGAAGUUUAAUUUUAUGGUGUUGAUAAUGUAGACAAAUUUUAAAUAUUAUUAAAAAGGGAGAAAUUUAAGACUUAGAUGUGUUCUAAAAAGAAGUUAGAGAAUCAGGAUAAAGGUAGGGAGAAA